CUAUUGUUCGAUGUCGUUGCAAUUGAUGAACCUCCACGAAAUCGCACAACAACCACCAUAGACCUCCAUCUUUAGAUCUGCCACUCUCACAAGCCGCACACUGAGUUUCCUCGCGUGAUUGUUGAAAUGGAGAUUUAAUUGAUGAGGUUGAAUGGAAGUUAUUGGUGACGGAGAAUCUAACGAUGAUGGUGGAAGCAUUUGUGAAGGACUAUCUUGCUCGAGAAAUAAAAGAAUACAUGAUUUUAGAUUCUUUCUAUUUUCAAGAGGGAUGAUGUUUUCAAAGUUGUCUUUCAUUUCAAUGCUCAUAAUAGACUUGAGGUUUUCAUCUUUUAUCGAGUUUGCUAUUCCCAU
This is a non-coding RNA of Vicia faba (fava bean), 351 nucleotides long. NCBI's taxonomy places the organism in Eukaryota, Viridiplantae, Streptophyta, Magnoliopsida, Fabales, Fabaceae. The record is from the annotation of a GenBank genome assembly.